This 678-nucleotide ribosomal RNA is filed under the name Triticum aestivum (bread wheat). RNAcentral's name for it is "partial small subunit ribosomal RNA". The record is from RNAcentral. Lineage: Eukaryota; Viridiplantae; Streptophyta; Magnoliopsida; Poales; Poaceae.
AUGUGCGGGAAUCUGUCAUCUAUUUCUUCAAAUUUCUGCUGGGGUGAAGCCAAUGGUGAGAAAAGAGUACAUUGGAUUGCAUGGGAUAAAAUGUGUUCGAGAAAGCAAGAAGGAGUGCUUGGAUUCAGGGACACGGAAGUUUUCAACCAAGCUUUGCUUGCCAAGCAAGCUUGGAGACUGCUGCAGGUGCCAAACUCUUUGUGUGCGCGAGUGCUCAAAGCGAGGUACUACCCUAACAGCUCCAUACUCAAUGCAACUUGCCCCGAUGGGGGAUCUUUCACGUUCAGAAGCAUCAUUCACGGCCAUGAACUACUCCUGGAGGGGCUAAUUUGGCGUAUUGGAGAUGGAUCCAGAGUGCGCAUUCAUCAUGAUAACUGGAUUCCGCGCAAAGGCAGCCUGAAGCCACUGGGCCAGGUGUUUGUCACGGGCAUCACUAGAGUGGGCGAUCUGUUAAAUGAAACAAGUACUGGAUGGGACAAGGAGAAGGUGCAGAAUAUGUCCCCCCCAGGCGAAGCAUGCGAUAUCAUGCAAAUUACUGUGGGGGGGCCGGGAGUGGAGGAUUAUAUCGCAUGGAAUUACACGAAAGAUGGAGUGUUCACGGUUAGAUCGGCCUAUCACCUCGGUAUGGGCAGAAAAGGGCAAAGACAGGGAAUCAGGGGUCGUCAUCUUCUGUCGUGA